UGGGGAAUAUUGGACAAUGGGCGAAAGCCUGAUCCAGCCAUGCCGCGUGUGUGAAGAAGGUCUUCGGAUUGUAAAGCACUUUAAGUUGGGAGGAAGGGCAGUAAGCGAAUACCUUGCUGUUUUGACGUUACCGACAGAAUAAGCACCGGCUAACUCUGUGCCAGCAGCCGCGGUAAUACAGAGGGUGCAAGCGUUAAUCGGAUUUACUGGGCGUAAAGCGUGCGUAGGCGGCUAAUUGAGUCGGAUGUGAAAUCCCCGAGCUUAACUUGGGAAUUGCAUUCGAUACUGGUUAGCUAGAGUGUGGGAGAGGAUGGUAGAAUUCCAGGUGUAGCGGUGAAAUGCGUAGAGAUCUGGAGGAAUACCGAUGGCGAAGGCAGCCAUCUGGCCUAACACUGACGCUGAGGUGCGAAAGCAUGGGGAGCAAACAGG
Molecule: ribosomal RNA, 429 nt
Filed under: Pseudomonadota bacterium
Lineage: Bacteria; Pseudomonadati; Pseudomonadota
Description: Proteobacteria bacterium partial 16S ribosomal RNA
Rfam family: Bacterial small subunit ribosomal RNA
Source: RNAcentral